RNAcentral lists this ribosomal RNA (292 nucleotides) under uncultured bacterium. RNAcentral describes it as "partial 16S ribosomal RNA". It matches the Rfam family "Bacterial small subunit ribosomal RNA", at positions 505 to 796 of the family's 1533-position model. The record is from RNAcentral.
GUGCCAGCCGCCGCGGUAAUACGGAGGGUGCAAGCGUUAUCCGGAUUCACUGGGUUUAAAGGGUGCGUAGGCGGACAGGUAAGUCAGUGGUGAAAUCUCCGAGCUUAACUCGGAAACUGCCUUUGAUACUCUCUGUCUUGAAUAUGGUGGAGGUAAGCGGAAUAUGUCAUGUAGCGGUGAAAUGCUUAGAGAUGACAUAGAACACCUAUUGCGAAGGCAGCUUACUACGCCUAUAUUGACGCUGAGGCACGAAAGCGUGGGGAUCAAACAGGAUUAGAUACCCUUGUAGUCC